UACGUAGGGGGCAAGCGUUGUCCGGAUUUAUUGGGCGUAAAGAGCGUGUAGGCGGUCAGAUAGGUCCGUUGUGAAAACUCGAGGCUCAACCUCGAGACGCCGAUGGAAACCAUCUGACUAGAGUCCGGAAGAGGAGAGUGGAAUUCCUGGUGUAGCGGUGAAAUGCGCAGAUAUCGGGAAGAACACCCGUGGCGAAGGCGGUUCUCUGGGACGGUACUGACGCUGAGACGCGAAAGCGUGGGGAGCGAACAGG
This 253-nucleotide ribosomal RNA is filed under the name uncultured bacterium. RNAcentral's name for it is "partial 16S ribosomal RNA". It matches the Rfam family "Bacterial small subunit ribosomal RNA", at positions 524 to 776 of the family's 1533-position model. The record is from RNAcentral.